CCUCCCAACCGUAGAAUAAAAAAUGAGAAUCCUCCAUCCUUUACUAACAAAAGAGAGAGAUAUCUCCAUCCUUCUCCUUGUUAUGGGCUGUAGUAGGUGGUGGCCAUGCCUAUCUCUUUCACCUGUACACUUAAAUAAACUUGCACACUGUUACAAUUCUAAGUAUCGAAGAACUGAUGUGAUUGGUCAAAUUUACACAAAGAAAAAUAAUAGCUUUUAUGAAUGAAAGAGAAAUGUGUUUAUACCACGUGUGUAAGAUUGUUUUUAAUUUGUUGCCUCGUGCCUGCGCCGCCAUUGUAAUUUUACUGCGAAAGAUUGGUUUUGACUUUUCAAUAAUUGAAAUCAUUGAAAUUCGCAUGAGCGCCGCUGGAAUUACUAAUAAUAAGGAUAAAUCUUUCUUGUUAAUUAAUUAUCUUCACUAUUUAAAUAAAUUUUGAUUUAUAAAAAGAUAUACAAUGUAGUUCGAUUCGUGCUUGGUUAUUGAUAAAAGUAAUUUUGUUUUAAAUGUGUUAUUCCCAAGUGUAAAACGCGAUCAAAUUACGUGCUGUACCUUUUACUGAUAGUGAUAACACUAGAUGGGAGGCAUGGUUCAUCAAUUGUCCAAUAUUACGGAAAUAUACUCGUAGGCAGUUAGAAAACGUUAAAAUUUGUGAAAACCACUUUCUACCCAGAAAAAAGACCUACUUAUUGGUAAUCAACGUGCACAGUGGUCCAUCAUUGAGGAGCUCUAUGCUACAGAUGGUGAAGCCGGACGUGCAAGAACCACAACCCUGACGGAUAAACACAUUAGACCAACUUCUUAUGACAAGAUGAA
Long non-coding RNA from Bicyclus anynana (squinting bush brown), 814 nucleotides. RefSeq lists it as uncharacterized. The transcript is spliced from 2 exons. The record is from RefSeq and is a predicted model, not a curated record. NCBI's taxonomy places the organism in Eukaryota, Metazoa, Arthropoda, Insecta, Lepidoptera, Nymphalidae.